AAAAAUAAAAACUGAUCUUUAGUCCAGUCAAUCAAAACUGUUGGACAUCACUAGCCUUUGUCCUUUCAAAUCCACCGUCUAGCCUUUAUGAUAGCAUUUUCCAAUGAAAUCUUUUAAUAUCUGCUAUCAAUAUCUUUUAACAUCUUCUUGAAUCUUCUUCGUCUGACUCCCUUGAUCUUCAUCUUGCCCUUUUUUGAAUAGCAUCCCUUAGAUGCAGUCCCAACAAUUGUCCUUCUUCUUUCCUUAGCAUUUUUUUUUUCAAAAACUGGGUAGUCUUGAAUCUCCUUUAUCUUGUUCUCUUGGCCUCCGUCGCUCCCUCUCCUGAGGAAUACUCCUUGGAUGCAACCCCCGCAAGUAAUGUCCUUCUCCUCUUUGCAUCUCUUCUUUAGCAACAAGAUGGGCAGUCUCAUUUUCUAUUUUAGGAAUGAAAUGAAACCCGAUAUUUUGAAAGAAAUUUUUUUUCUAUGGAUAUAUCUGACUAUCGCCCCUAUAAUCGAUUUAUCUUGGUUUGUGGUCUAAAAUUUCUUAAUCACUGUUCUUGAGUCUCCUUUUAUAUCCAGAGUAUUUAAUCCUAUUGUAAUCCCUAACUGAAUUGCCUGUAAUCCUGCAUGUGCCUCUGCUGCAAAUGGCGAUGAAAUGUCGGAAUGAAUAACUGACUUAGAGGCCAUGAUAUCCCCCCUUCGUAUCACAAACAACCAAACCCGAAGCAGAUCUCGAAGUUCUCUUGUCGAAAGCCGCAUCAAAAUAAACUGUCACCCUCGUGCUUCUUUCCAUCUGCUUAUGUCCUCUAUCAAUGUUGGUAAGAAAUCUUUUUUCCUCCACUCCAUUUAACUUUGCUAUAAAACUGAUGACUUAUUUAGAAAUAUCCCUGCCUGUUGUAAUCUCUCUCAUAGAUGAAUUUAUUUCUAUGAUUCUAGAUUGACCAUAACCCACAGCAAAAAAAGGCGACACUGGUCUUUGUUCCCCAGCCUGAAAACCCAUAUAAGCCACUCCCACAAGCUUUGAGUGCUGUUAUUGGAUACCCAUGCAAGAUCUAAACUUGACCAUACUUCUGUUGUUGUAGCACAGUACCUGAAAACGUGGUUGCUAUCCUCAGCGGAGGUGUGACAUCGGGGACAAAGAGUUUCCACUGCGAAUUUUUUACUCUUUAGAUUAGAUAGAAUAGAAAUAUAAUUCCAAGAAAUUCUCCAAAUUGUAAUUUUAAUUUUUGGAGGGAUUUGUAAAUUCCAUAAUUUUCUGUAGAAGUUUCUAUUCUUGGUUUGUAUAAAAUUAUUACUAGGACCCGAAUUAGUCUUUUGUAAUAGUUUAUAGGAACUUCUGACUGAAUACUUUCCUGACGAUUCUCCUCUCCAUGCUUGGAAGUCCUCGUAGAUUGUCUCUGCCAAGGGAAUCUACAGAAUUUUUUUGGCGUUAUCCUCAUUGAAGGUACUUAAAACUAAAUUUGUAUUCCACUUUCGGUUAUUAGCAUUAAUCAAAUAUGAUACUAACUUAAUAUUCUCAUUGACGGUUUCAUUCUGCAAUCUAUCAUUUUCAACUCCCAAAAUCCAUAUGUCAUCCCAAACAG
RNAcentral lists this long non-coding RNA (1564 nucleotides) under Gossypium barbadense (sea-island cotton). RNAcentral's name for it is "long non-coding RNA (GBAR_LNC007968)". Lineage: Eukaryota; Viridiplantae; Streptophyta; Magnoliopsida; Malvales; Malvaceae. The record is from RNAcentral.